UGCGUAGGUGGUGGGGAAAGUCUGAUGUGAAAUCUCCGAGCUUAACUCGGAAACUGCAUUGGAAACUACCUCGCUCGAGGGUUGGAGGGGGGACGUGGAAUACUUGGUGUAGCAGUGAAAUGCGUAGAUAUCAAGUGGAACACCAGUGGCGAAGGCGAGUCCCUGGACAACUCCUGACACUGGGGCACGAAAGCUAGGGGAGCAAACA
RNAcentral lists this ribosomal RNA (208 nucleotides) under uncultured bacterium. RNAcentral describes it as "partial 16S ribosomal RNA". It matches the Rfam family "Bacterial small subunit ribosomal RNA", at positions 568 to 774 of the family's 1533-position model. The record is from RNAcentral.